This 378-nucleotide ribosomal RNA is filed under the name uncultured bacterium. RNAcentral describes it as "bacterial SSU rRNA". It matches the Rfam family "Bacterial small subunit ribosomal RNA", at positions 28 to 416 of the family's 1533-position model. The record is from RNAcentral.
GAUGAACGCUGGCGGCGUGCCUACACAUGCAAGUCGAGCGAUCUUCUUCGGAAGAGAGCGGCGGACGGGUGAGUAACGCGUGGGUAACCUGCCCUGUACACACGGAUAACAUACCGAAAGGUAUGCUAAUACGAGAUAAUAUGCUUUUAUCGCAUGGUAGAAGUAUCAAAGCUUUUGCGGUACAGGAUGGACCCGCGUCUGAUUAGCUGGUUGGUAAGGUAACGGCUUACCAAGGCGACGAUCAGUAGCCGACCUGAGAGGGUGAUCGGCCACAUUGGAACUGAGACACGGUCCAAACUCCUACGGGAGGCAGCAGUGGGGAAUAUUGCACAAUGGGCGAAAGCCUGAUGCAGCAACGCCGCGUGAGCGAUGAAGGCC